Long non-coding RNA from Zea mays, 2043 nucleotides. RefSeq lists it as uncharacterized. The transcript is spliced from 3 exons. The record is from RefSeq and is a predicted model, not a curated record. Lineage: Eukaryota; Viridiplantae; Streptophyta; Magnoliopsida; Poales; Poaceae.
UCAAUGCGCCAGUGGCCUCACGCCACUGCCCGCAGUCCAACGCGCCAGGGACCAACACCCGUCGCUGGGCACGACUGUGGCACAUUGUUGUUUUUUUUUUUUGGGGGGGGGGGGGAUGUUUGGAUGGAUGAUGUUGGAUUGUGGCGCACAUCGGAGAGGGAUGUGGCUGCGGGGCAGGACCGCAGGAGACGGACGCGCGAGGAGAGGAGGUGAAUAGCUGAGCUUCUCAUUGUGUAGAUCGGUUGAUGAGACGGGGAACUGAAUCCAGGAGAUAGCGGAUUAUUGGUCUCUUGGCACCGCCUGCAAUGCAAUAUGAGUUGAGGCACCAUGACGGCUUCAGUGUGAUCUUCCUUGCAGCGAUGCAAUUUCUCAAGUUCUUAGCCGCAGGCUUGCAGCAGACAGAGAGGCAAACAUUUCAGGUUUUAUCCUUUAUACACCCAAUAUAUCUUUAUUUCUUUCAGUCAGACAGCACGCAUUGCAAAAUUUAGCUCUUUUUUCCCCUAGUUGGCUAGUUGAAUAUCAUUCACAAUACAUAGCUAAAAAAAGCUGUAGUCUCUAUCCCCCAUGGCAGGAAGCCAGGAAGGGUAUUUUGACUUUGACUCGUAAUGAUUGGUUCCCCAUGGCAGGAAGCCAGGAAGCUGUAGUCUCUUGUUUGAUUUUGACUCGUAAUGAGAAGAAAGAGACCCCGGCCGAAACUUCUCUACCGUUCCCCCACGUUUGGUUGGUUGGUUGGUACUGAUCCGUUGCAUGUUUCAUUAUUGUUGUGCGUCACGGCGGUCCCAUGGAAACCUGACCACCAUCGCUCUUCUCGCCAUUGCCGGCUUCGUCCCCGUGAACCACGCGACAUGGUUUCGCGUCACGCGGGUCACGGAAAUGUCGUGCUGAUAUCCGCAGGGCCGAGGCCUGGGCCUGGGACUGGGACUGGGACUGGGACUGGGACUGGGCGGUGCUGGAAUAAUCAUGCAGUUGCUAGCAGCAGCUAGCACGCUAUAGAGCUAAACCGACAUCUGAUGGGCAUGGGCACACUAUGAAAGCUACGUCGUUGAAAUCAACUGUACUGUGCCGUCACGUGCAGCAGUGUGGAUCACGAACUGUGUGGUGUGUCCGCGUGAUGAUUACGACAGGCACCAGAAUUGAGUCUUCUCGAGAGAGCCGGAAUUGGUUAGAAAUUGGAAAAUGGAAUCUGUUUCGUUCGCUGGGUUGGAACAUCAGGUGACGUUGGUCGGGGAUGGAUCAUGGACGCACUCGCAUCUGAAAGGCGAUACGGAUGGAUGACUGGCUUGUAGACUCGGAGGACUGGCGUACAACAUCAGUUGUCUGUUAGUUAUACUUGACUCAAAACUGAAUUUAGGCUAUGUGUGUCAGAAAACUGAAUUUAGGCUAUGGACAGCUGAUUGUGUAUAUGGCCGUGUCAAACACAGUUUCAUGCUAUAGAUUGCCCUAAUUAUAUAGUGAAAUUUGAAAUAUGAGAUAGAUUUAGCUGGCUAUUUGCCAAACGUAUGGCUGUACGGCCUACCAAAUGGGCAAAUGGCAAGUUACUAUUGCCAUCUGCUAGGUGUCGAUGGCAGAGGAUUGUGCAUCCAAAUAAUGACGAUGACCGUAGCACGUACUGAAGGGGACGUGCGAACAGUAUGUUGGUGUUCCUUCGUCACAGAUUGAUGGGGACAAACUACAGAAUGGUCCGGAUCAGACGGUACUAACGAGUCUCUCUAUUUUUCUUCUUGCUAAUGAUACUAGCGAGUCUCUAAUUUUUCUUCUUGCUAAUGAUACUAACGAGUCUCUCUAUUUUCCCUUUGCAUCAUUGCACGACAGAACGAACGAACGUACUCUCCUGUCCGCUAAGGCCGUUUGCAGCAGUCUACCUAAAUUUUACUCAAAAGUACUGUUUUGCACUGUAGACUAUAAUGUUCGCAGAGUAAAGUUUGAAUAUGUGUAUAGAGAUGGACAAGCUGUUGGAGAUAGUUUAAAACUAAGUGUCAUUCUUCUAUCCAGAUGUUUUAAAUUUGGUCAAAUAUAUAUAAGAAAUUAUUAAUAUUUACGAUA